RNAcentral lists this ribosomal RNA (433 nucleotides) under Cardinium endosymbiont of Heterodera mediterranea. Its description in RNAcentral is "bacterial SSU rRNA". It matches the Rfam family "Bacterial small subunit ribosomal RNA", at positions 293 to 723 of the family's 1533-position model. Lineage: Bacteria; Pseudomonadati; Bacteroidota; Cytophagia; Cytophagales; Amoebophilaceae. The record is from RNAcentral.
UUAGUGGAAGAUCCCCCACACUGGCACUGAGAUACGGGCCAGACUCCUACGGGAGGCAGCAGUAGGGAAUAUUGGUCAAUGGGCGCAAGCCUGAACCAGCCAUGCCGCGUGCAGGAUGAAGGCUUUCUGAGUUGUAAACUGCUUUUGUACAGGAACAAAAAAGCCUCUGCGGAGGUUCUUGAGCGUACUGUAAGAAUAAGCACCGGCUAAUUCCGUGCCAGCAGCCGCGGUAAGACGGAAGGUGCAAGCGUUAUCCGGUUUUAUUGGGUUUAAAGGGUGCGUAGGCGGUUUAUUAAGUCAGUUGUGAAAUCUUAGUGCUUAACGCUAAAACUGCAAUUGAUACUGAUAGACUUGAGUUAAGAAGAGGUAAGUAGAAUUUAUGGUGUAGUAGUGAAAUGCUUAGAUAUCAUAAGGAAUACCAAUGGCGUAGGCA